AAUCUCUUGGAAAAUAAGGGGAGUGCCUCAUUAGAAGGAGCCUGGGGACAGGUGCUGCAAUGGCUGUCGUCAGCUCGUGUCGUGAGAUGUUGGGUUAAGUCCCGCAAGAAGCGCAACCCUUGCCUUUAGUUGCCAUCAUUAAGUUGGGCACUCUAGAGGGACUGCCGGUGUCAAACCGGAGGAAGGUGGGGAUGACGUCAAGUCCUCAUGGCCUUUAUGACCAGGGCUACACACGUACUACAAUGGCAUGUACAAAGGGCAGCCACAGGGCGACCUGGAGCGAAUCCUUAAAACAUGUCUCAGUCCGGAUUGGAGUCUGCAACUCGACUCCAUGAAGUUGGAAUCGCUAGUAAUCGUAGAUCAGCAUGCUACGGUGAAUACGUUCCCGGGCCUUGUACACACCGCCCGUCACACCACGGGAGUUGGUUGUACCAGAAGUAGUUGAGCGAACCUUCGGGGCGCAGACUACCAAGGUAUGGCUGGUAACUGGGGUGAAGUCGUAACAAGGUA
This 510-nucleotide ribosomal RNA is filed under the name uncultured bacterium. Its description in RNAcentral is "bacterial SSU rRNA". It matches the Rfam family "Bacterial small subunit ribosomal RNA", at positions 994 to 1498 of the family's 1533-position model. The record is from RNAcentral.